Molecule: ribosomal RNA, 253 nt
Filed under: uncultured bacterium
Lineage: Bacteria
Description: partial 16S ribosomal RNA
Rfam family: Bacterial small subunit ribosomal RNA
Source: RNAcentral
UACAGAGGGUGCAAGCGUUGUUCGGAAUUACUGGGCGUAAAGCGCGCGUAGGUGGCGAUGUAAGUCGGGUGUGAAAUCCCUCAGCUUAACUGAGGAAGUGCACUCGAUACUGUGUCGCUUGAGUGUUGGAGGGGAUGGCGGAAUUCCCGGUGUAGAGGUGAAAUUCGUAGAUAUCGGGAGGAACACCUGUGGCGAAGGCGGCCAUCUGGACAACUACUGACACUGAGACGCGAAAGCGUGGGUAGCAAACAGG